Molecule: long non-coding RNA, 239 nt
Filed under: Ananas comosus (pineapple)
Lineage: Eukaryota; Viridiplantae; Streptophyta; Magnoliopsida; Poales; Bromeliaceae
Description: long non-coding RNA (ACOM_LNC037868)
Source: RNAcentral
UGAAGGCAUUGGAACUUUUAGAGGAUAUAUUUGCAAAUUAUAAAAUUUUUGAAAGAAUAAAUCUGAUUAUUUAAGUUUUAUAAAAAUUAUCUGGUAUUUGACACUUUCGCAUUGAAACGUAUGAAAUUAACUUCAAAAGAAAAGGGGGUGAGCUUUCACACUAUACCUCAUGCAUUCCAAAGAGGCCACACCUAAUUAAUCCACAAAAUUAGCCUUUACCAAUAACAAAUUGGUUCCCA